UUUUGCUGUAUUGGCUGACUAGUGUACUUGUCCUUUCUUAUCCUAGACCGAUCUUGUUGGCGAGCCAGAAAUUGCUUCUUUGGUGCAACGAAUAAGGAACAUCAAUGGCAUGGCUCAACUGAAGCGGACAGAGUUUGGAAAAGUUAACCUGGAUUAUGUUCUUGGUAUUGGAGGAUUUGAUUUGGAGAGGAUAGAGAGUGCUAUUGAUGCUGAAGGUGAAAAGGAAGAUCAUGAUCAUCACCAUGAUCACCACCACGAUCAUCAUCACCAUCAUGAUGAGAAGCACGACCACAAGCACG
Prunus avium (sweet cherry) is the source of this 299-nucleotide non-coding RNA. Lineage: Eukaryota; Viridiplantae; Streptophyta; Magnoliopsida; Rosales; Rosaceae. The record is from RefSeq and is a predicted model, not a curated record.